This 977-nucleotide long non-coding RNA is filed under the name Catharus ustulatus (Swainson's thrush). RNAcentral describes it as "lncRNA (ENSCUSG00005010545.1)". The record is from RNAcentral. Lineage: Eukaryota; Metazoa; Chordata; Aves; Passeriformes; Turdidae.
AUGAAUGCAGCCCCCCCCAAAUCUCUCCCAGCACCAGCCCGGCAGCAAAGAGCCCGGCACGGAGGGAGCGUGGCUGCGGCUGGGCUGGUCCAGGGAGGGACAAUAAAGCCAAUCCCGGGCAGGAAAAAUCACAAGGUGGAGUUGAAUGCAGUGGUUAACUACCAGCAAUAUGUUCUGAAGAUGAUGGUGUUCAGACAAAUACCCAAUUUGAUUCUGAUAAAUUGGAUGCAAGACUUUGACCAGCAUGAGAAGAACAGAGAGAACAACAUGCAACUGAGAUAUUAUGAAUUCAGUCAGAUCCUGCUUUGGGCUGGCAGCAGAGAGCAAAGCCUACAUUGAAUCCAUAACUUCUGCUUAUGGAAUAAAAUAUAUUUUGGGAUGAUCACAAAGGCCAUGGUGAAGAAUCUCUUCAUCCCAAGGUAAGCUGGUACAGUGGCACAAGCUGAAACGAAGCACUUUGGUUCUAGGCUUCAUUUGACUGUUAAAUCUCAUAAUUUUUUUGCUGAGAGAUUAAAAAUGUGCCAUAAGAAGUCUCAGCAUCAAUUCCUAUGGAUGAGGAUGGUUUAUCCCUUAAAUCAGUCUGUGAUGCAGUGAACAGAAAUAGAAUCACCAAAUUCCUCAACAUUCAUUACCAGGCAUCAUUUACAGAUCUUGCAGGAUUUUUGGAAAAGGCAUUUAAGAUCAUGAAGUCUUUUUUUUUUUUUUUUUUUGUCUUUAAAUUAUUCCAUUAACAAUUAAAGAAGAGUCUAAAUAUGCAGCAUUCCAUGAUUUCCACUCACCCCCUGAGAUCAUGAAACCUGUUGGAAAAUACUUUUAAAGCAAGAAAAAAGUGCAGUGUAAGAUUCCUGUGCAAACACUGAAUCCAUUCCUUCUGCCAAGAGUUUAUAAUCUAUUUUUUUAAGAUUUUAUUCAUGCUGGCUUUUGUUUUUCCCCCUUUCCAGUGGGAAUGUUACAUUUAUGGAUCAGAUGGAAGCAGA